Molecule: transfer RNA, 73 nt
Filed under: Besnoitia besnoiti
Lineage: Eukaryota; Apicomplexa; Conoidasida; Eucoccidiorida; Sarcocystidae
Rfam family: tRNA
About the family: Transfer RNA (tRNA) molecules are approximately 80 nucleotides in length. Their secondary structure includes four short double-helical elements and three loops (D, anti-codon, and T loops). Further hydrogen bonds mediate the characteristic L-shaped molecular structure. tRNAs have two regions of fundamental functional importance: the anti-codon, which is responsible for specific mRNA codon recognition, and the 3' end, to which the tRNAs corresponding amino acid is attached (by aminoacyl-tRNA synthetases). tRNAs cope with the degeneracy of the genetic code in two manners: having more than one tRNA (with a specific anti-codon) for a particular amino acid; and 'wobble' base-pairing, i.e. permitting non-standard base-pairing at the 3rd anti-codon position.
Source: Rfam by way of RNAcentral
GCCUCUUUAGCUCAGACGGUAGAGCGCCAGCCUUUUAAGCUGGUGGUCAGGGGUUUGAGCCCCUUAGGAGGCU